This 467-nucleotide ribosomal RNA is filed under the name uncultured bacterium. RNAcentral's name for it is "partial 16S ribosomal RNA". It matches the Rfam family "Bacterial small subunit ribosomal RNA", at positions 28 to 507 of the family's 1533-position model. The record is from RNAcentral.
GACGAACGCUGGCGGCGUGCUUAACACAUGCAAGUCGAACGAUGACGGCCGAGCUUGCUCGGUCUGAUUAGUGGCGAACGGGUGAGUAACACGUGAGCAACCUGCCCUUCACUCUGGGAUAACCUCGGGAAAUCGGGGCUAAUACCGGAUAUGAGCUCCUGUCGCAUGGCGGGUGUUGGAAAGUUUUUCGGGGAAGGAUGGGCUCGCGGCCUAUCUGUUUGUUGGUGAGGUAGUGGCUCACCAAGGCGAUGACGGGUAGCCGGCCUGAGAGGGGGACCGGCCACACUGGGACUGAGACACGGCCCAGACUCCUACGGGAGGCAGCAGUGGGGAAUAUUGCACAAUGGGCGAAAGCCUGAUGCAGCGACGCCGCGUGGGGGAUGACGGCCUUCGGGUUGUAAACCUCUUUCAGCAGGGAAGAAGCGAAAGUGACGGUACCUGCAGAAGAAGCGCCGGCUAACUACGUG